AUAUAGGCUCUACUCAGAACCAACAAUAUUAAGUACUAAAUAUUGU
Molecule: non-coding RNA, 46 nt
Organism: Callithrix jacchus (white-tufted-ear marmoset)
Lineage: Eukaryota; Metazoa; Chordata; Mammalia; Primates; Cebidae
Source: Rfam